GACGAACGCUGGCGGCGUGCCUAAUACAUGCAAGUAGAACGCUGAAGGAGGAGCUUGCUCUUCUGGAUGAGUUGCGAACGGGUGAGUAACGCGUAGGUAACCUGCCUGGUAGCGGGGGAUAACUAUUGGAAACGAUAGCUAAUACCGCAUAAGAGUAGAUGUUGCAUGACAUUUACUUAAAAGGUGCAAUUGCAUCACUACCAGAUGGACCUGCGUUGUGUGAGCUAGUUGGUGGGGUAACGGCUUACCAAGGCGACGAUACAUAGCCGACCUGAGAGGGGGGUCGGCCAGACUGGGAGUGUGACAGGGCCCAGAGUCCUACGGGAGGCAGCAGUAGGGAAUCUUGGGCAAUGGGCGGAAGUCUUACCGAGCAACGCCGCGUGAGUGAGGAAGGUUUUCGGAUCGUAAAGCUCGGUUGUAAGAGAAGAACGGGUGUGAGAGUGGAAAGUUCACACUGUGACGGUAUCUUACCAGAAAGGGACGGCUAACUACGUG
Molecule: ribosomal RNA, 495 nt
Filed under: uncultured bacterium
Lineage: Bacteria
Description: partial 16S ribosomal RNA
Rfam family: Bacterial small subunit ribosomal RNA
Source: RNAcentral